Molecule: ribosomal RNA, 359 nt
Filed under: Cypionkella sp.
Lineage: Bacteria; Pseudomonadati; Pseudomonadota; Alphaproteobacteria; Rhodobacterales; Paracoccaceae
Description: bacterial SSU rRNA
Rfam family: Bacterial small subunit ribosomal RNA
Source: RNAcentral
CAACUUGAGAGUUUGAUCCUGGCUCAGAAUGAACGCUGGCGGCAGGCCUAACACAUGCAAGUCGAACGGGUCCUUCGGGACUAGUGGCGGACGGGUGAGUAACGCGUGGGAACAUACCCUUUGGUACGGAAUAGCCUCGGGAAACUGAGAGUAAUACCGUAUGUGCCCUUCGGGGGAAAGAUUUAUCGCCAAAGGAUUGGCCCGCGUUGGAUGAGGUUGUUGGUGGGGUAAUGGCCUACCAAGCCGACGAUCCAUAGCUGGUUUGAGAGGAUGAUCAGCCACACUGGGACUGAGACACGGCCCAGACUCCUACGGGAGGCAGCAGUGGGGAAUCUUAGACAAUGGGGGAAACCCUGAUC